GAUGAACGCUGGCGGCGUGCCUAAUACAUGCAAGUCGAGCGAACAGACGAGGAGCUUGCUCCUCUGACGUUAGCGGCGGACGGGUGAGUAACACGUGGAUAACCUACCUAUAAGACUGGGAUAACUUCGGGAAACCGGAGCUAAUACCGGAUAAUAUAUUGAACCGCAUGGUUCAAUAGUGAAAGACGGUUUUGCUGUCACUUAUAGAUGGAUCCGCGUCGCAUUAGCUAGUUGGUAAGGUAACGGCUUACCAAGGCAACGAUGCGUAGCCGACCUGAGAGGGUGAUCGGCCACACUGGAACUGAGACACGGUCCAGACUCCUACGGGAGGCAGCAGUAGGGAACCUUCCGCAAUGGGCGAAAGCCUGACGGAGCAACGCCGCGUGAGUGAUGAAGGUCCUCGGAUCGUAAAACUCUGUUAUUAGGGAAGAACAAAUGUGUAAGUAACUAUGCACGUCUUGACGGUACCUAAUCAGAAAGCCACGGCUAACUACGUG
RNAcentral lists this ribosomal RNA (497 nucleotides) under uncultured bacterium. RNAcentral describes it as "partial 16S ribosomal RNA". It matches the Rfam family "Bacterial small subunit ribosomal RNA", at positions 28 to 507 of the family's 1533-position model. The record is from RNAcentral.